GGUGAGGUGUCCGGAGUGGCUGAAGGAGCACGCACGGAAAGUGUGUAUACGGCAACGUAUCGGGGGUUCAGAAUCCCCCCUCACCGCCA
RNAcentral lists this transfer RNA (89 nucleotides) under Escherichia coli. RNAcentral's name for it is "tRNA-Ser". Lineage: Bacteria; Pseudomonadati; Pseudomonadota; Gammaproteobacteria; Enterobacterales; Enterobacteriaceae. The record is from RNAcentral.